This 44-nucleotide non-coding RNA is filed under the name Schistosoma mattheei. The record is from RNAcentral. Lineage: Eukaryota; Metazoa; Platyhelminthes; Trematoda; Strigeidida; Schistosomatidae.
AGCGGUGGACGAGUCCCAAAUAGGACGAAACGCGCGUCCUGGAU